UGAGGAAUAUUGGUCAAUGGGCGAGAGCCUGAACCAGCCAAGUAGCGUGCAGGAAGACGGCCCUAUGGGUUGUAAACCGCUUUUAUAUGGGGAUAAAGUGAGUUACGUGUAGCUUAUUGCAGGUACCAUAUGAAUAAGGACCGGCUAAUUCCGUGCCAGCAGCCGCGGUAAUACGGAAGGUCCAGGCGUUAUCCGGAUUUAUUGGGUUUAAAGGGAGCGUAGGCCGCCCCUUAAGCGUGUUGUGAAAUGCCGCGGCUCAACCGUGGCACUGCAGCGCGAACUGGGGGGCUUGAGUGCACGCAACGCAGGCGGAAUUCGUGGUGUAGCGGUGAAAUGCUUAGAUAUCACGAAGAACUCCGAUUGCGAAGGCAGCUCACUGGAGCGCAACUGACGCUGAAGCUCGAAAGUGCGGGUAUCG
RNAcentral lists this ribosomal RNA (418 nucleotides) under uncultured Prevotella sp. Its description in RNAcentral is "bacterial SSU rRNA". It matches the Rfam family "Bacterial small subunit ribosomal RNA", at positions 355 to 770 of the family's 1533-position model. Lineage: Bacteria; Pseudomonadati; Bacteroidota; Bacteroidia; Bacteroidales; Prevotellaceae. The record is from RNAcentral.